RNAcentral lists this transfer RNA (64 nucleotides) under Enneaphyllus aeneipennis. RNAcentral describes it as "tRNA-Cys". The record is from RNAcentral. Lineage: Eukaryota; Metazoa; Arthropoda; Insecta; Coleoptera; Cerambycidae.
GGUUUUGUAGUCAAUUAUGAUUUUAAAUUGCAAGUUUAAAGGUAAAGAUUUUCUUUCAAAGCCU